Molecule: small nuclear RNA, 105 nt
Organism: Marmota marmota marmota (Alpine marmot)
Lineage: Eukaryota; Metazoa; Chordata; Mammalia; Rodentia; Sciuridae
Source: Ensembl
GUGUUUGUUUUAGCAGCACAUAUACUAAAAUUGGAAUGACACAGAAAUUAGCAAUGGCCUCUGUGCAAGGAUAAAGAGCAAAUUCAUGAAACAGUUCUUAUUUUU